UGAGAGGGUGGGGCGGAGCGCGCUCGGCGCAGUCGGGUGCGAUUGGCCACCCCUGGCAGAAGCCGCACCUCGGACAGCAGCAGCAGCGGCGGCGGCGGGAGCGUCCGCGGGACUCCCGGAGUCGGCGGCCGCAGCGGGGUCCUGCGUGCGAGAGUGGGACGCGACGCGGGGAGCGCCUGCGGAGGUCCUGCGCGGCCGAAGGUCCUGCACGGCUGGGCUCGGCUCUUGGCAACCCGACCCGGGGAUCUUCCAGGGGGCAACCCGCAGAAGAGCGACUCGGGAACAAGUGUGAGAGGAAGCGGCGGCGGCGACGCCGGGCCCGGGGGCGGUGACAGGUCUGAGGUAAAGUGUAAAUACAGAAGACUGAAGUUUUAA
RNAcentral lists this long non-coding RNA (375 nucleotides) under Dasypus novemcinctus (nine-banded armadillo). Its description in RNAcentral is "lncRNA (ENSDNOG00000050069.1)". Lineage: Eukaryota; Metazoa; Chordata; Mammalia; Cingulata; Dasypodidae. The record is from RNAcentral.